Molecule: ribosomal RNA, 468 nt
Filed under: uncultured bacterium
Lineage: Bacteria
Description: partial 16S ribosomal RNA
Rfam family: Bacterial small subunit ribosomal RNA
Source: RNAcentral
GACGAACGCUGGCGGCGUGCUUAACACAUGCAAGUCGAACGGAAAGGCCCUGCUUUUGUGGGGUGCUCGAGUGGCGAACGGGUGAGUAACACGUGAGUAACCUGCCCUUGACUUUGGGAUAACUUCAGGAAACUGGGGCUAAUACCGGAUAGGAGCUCCUGCUGCAUGGUGGGGGUUGGAAAGUUUCGGCGGUUGGGGAUGGACUCGCGGCUUAUCAGCUUGUUGGUGGGGUAGUGGCUUACCAAGGCUUUGACGGGUAGCCGAGCUGAGAGGGUGACCGGCUACGUUAGGAUGGGGAUGCGGCCCAGACUCCUACGGUAGGCAGCAGUGGAGAAUAUUGCACAAUGGGAGGAAGCAUGAUGCAGCAACGCCGCGUGCGGGAUGACGGCCUUCGGGUUGUAAACCGCUUUCGCCUGUGACGAAGCGUGAGUGACGGUAAUGGGUAAAGAAGCACCGGCUAACUACGUG